CAGUCGCCGCGGUAAUACAGAGGGUGCGAGCGUUAUUCGGAUUUACUGGGCGUAAAGCGUGCGUAGGCGGCUUUUUAAGUCGGAUGUGAAAUCCCUGAGCUUAACUUAGGAAUUGCAUUCGAUACUGGGAAGCUAGAGUAUGGGAGAGGAUGGUAGAAUUCCAGGUGUAGCGGUGAAAUGCGUAGAGAUCUGGAGGAAUACCGAUGGCGAAGGCAGCCAUCUGGCCUAAUACUGACGCUGAGGUACGAAAGCAUGGGGAGCAAACAGGAUUAGAUACCCCUGUAGUCCCUGUCUCUUAUAC
This 301-nucleotide ribosomal RNA is filed under the name uncultured bacterium. RNAcentral describes it as "partial 16S ribosomal RNA". It matches the Rfam family "Bacterial small subunit ribosomal RNA", at positions 509 to 807 of the family's 1533-position model. The record is from RNAcentral.